CGUUGAUGUGCCGUACGUUCCCUGUAGGCUUGGGAUGAUAAAAUCCUAUUUAACGUUGAUAAGUGUGGAUAAUCAGAACUUUAGAAGUCGUUUGUUCCAGAAGAUAUAUUUGGCGGUAUUGUUCCUAAUCUUUACGUACGGUAAUAGCACUUGCACAAUUCUAUUAUUUAUUCCAGGAAAAAAAAUAAUAUCUGACGUUAUUGGAUUUUGUGAUGUUUGCUUGUUGUAUCUAAUUUGGAUGUUUUUCUUCUUUUUUGUUUUUGUUUUAUUUGUUUUUUGUUUUGUUUUGUAUUUGUUUUUUUUGUUUUUGUAUUUUUUAUUUGGGGUGUAUUUCUGUUAUUUUUUGUGUAGAACAUAUUUAUAAUCACUUACUAUAAAGCUACUCGCUCCUCUCACUUCUUGGAAAAUAUAUAGCUAAUAUUGAUUAAAUUACUGAUUGUGUUUUUUAUAGAAUAAAUUUACCAUUUCAAUAAUCUAAAG
This 480-nucleotide long non-coding RNA is filed under the name Mytilus galloprovincialis (Mediterranean mussel). Lineage: Eukaryota; Metazoa; Mollusca; Bivalvia; Mytilida; Mytilidae. The record is from RNAcentral.